GUUCUUGUACCCGGAACUCAUGUCCAAAUUGAUAGGUUUCUGGCUGAAAGAGGAAGUGAGCCCAAGUAUGUAGGCCGCUACAGAGUAACAGACCCUGAUUCACUGAUGGCUGCAAUGGAUGCAGCUGGAAGAAUUCGUCUUAUGAUAGAGGCAAAGUUGUCUCCGGGGCCAUCAUUGACUGGUGUCCGCCGGCAUGGAGAAAAUAGUCGCUGGCAUGAUGGUGUUAGUGUUGCUAGCGGUAAUUUUCUAGCAAUGAAGAGAAGAGGAGUUGUAGAAGGAACUGAUU
RNAcentral lists this unclassified non-coding RNA (286 nucleotides) under Hevea brasiliensis (rubber tree). The record is from RNAcentral. Lineage: Eukaryota; Viridiplantae; Streptophyta; Magnoliopsida; Malpighiales; Euphorbiaceae.